CGUAGGUGGCAAGCGUUACUCGGAAUCACUAGGCGUAAAGCGCAGGUAGGUGGUUGGAUAAGUUCUUUGUGAAAGCUCCUGGCUUAACUGGGAGAGGUCAAGGAAUACUGUCUGGCUUGAGUAUGGUAGGGGAAACUGGAAUUCCCGGUGUAGCGGUGAAAUGCGUAGAUAUCGGGAGGAAUACCUAUGGCGAAAGCAAGUUUCUGGGCCAUUACUGACACUGAGCUGCGAAAGCUAGGGGAGCAAACAGGAUUAGAUACCCUGGUAGUCCUAGCCCUAAACGAUGUUCAUUAGAUGUGGGAGGUAUCGACCCCUUCCGCGUCGGCGCUAACGCAUUAAAUGAACCGCCUGGGGAGUACGGCCGCAAGGUUG
Molecule: ribosomal RNA, 372 nt
Filed under: uncultured organism
Description: bacterial SSU rRNA
Rfam family: Bacterial small subunit ribosomal RNA
Source: RNAcentral